RNAcentral lists this ribosomal RNA (389 nucleotides) under uncultured bacterium. RNAcentral's name for it is "bacterial SSU rRNA". It matches the Rfam family "Bacterial small subunit ribosomal RNA", at positions 30 to 416 of the family's 1533-position model. The record is from RNAcentral.
AUUGAACGCUGGCGGCAUGCUUUACACAUGCAAGUCGAACGGCAGCACGGGUGCUUGCACCUGGUGGCGAGUGGCGGACGGGUGAGUAAUACAUCGGAACGUGUCCUGAAGUGGGGGGAUAACGCAUCGAAAGAUGUGCUAAUACCGCAUAUACUCUGAGGAGUAAAGUAGGGGAUCGAAAGACCUUAUGCUUUUGGAGCGGCCGAUGUCUGAUUAGCUAGUUGGUGGGGUAAUUGCCCACCAAGGCGACGAUCAGUAGUUGGUCUGAGAGGACGACCAGCCACACUGGGACUGAGACACGGCCCAGACUCCUACGGGAGGCAGCAGUGGGGAAUUUUGGACAAUGGGCGCAAGCCUGAUCCAGCAAUGCCGCGUGAGUGAAGAAGGCC